CAAAUGUAUUUCGGUCUCAUGUGCAUUAUUUGUAUAUUUGAUUUACGAGAUGCGGUGGGAGUAGCGCCAUAGGCAAUGCAAUGAAAGGGUUUCUUUCUCUAUUGUAUACAUGUAGAGUAAUGUUUCUGGUGCUUGUAAAACGUCUUUGAAAAGUAACAAACAGGGUGGCCGAUGCCAUAUGCAUUUUCUUGAAACAAUACAUCACCAGCACCAAUGGCACAUGCAUCAAUUGCCAGCUUCAAUGUUUUCUCAAAAUCCGGUGCUUUCAUGACUUGAGAAUUCAUGAGUAGGGGUUUAGCUCUGACAAUUUGGUAGCUAAUGUCCCAAAUAAACGUUGUCUUUUUGGACAACAAAGUAGUGAGAGCGGACACUACAUCAGAGAAAGUUUGGCAAUUUUUGGUGUUGUUACCAGCCAAACCCAGAUGUCGGGAAAUUUAUAGCUUCCAGUUGACCGGUAUUACCUGACCGUGACCUGACAACACAACAUGUGCCAAAUCAACCCUUGGCAAGAUUUACAGUCAAUUUCGCCUUUGAUAGUUUCACAAAUUCAAGUGUGAUUGGUUAUUAAGUCCCUGUCUAUAAGUGACCCUGUGACCAAAGACUAACUCUAACCCUAAGGGACUGAAGCCUUGUGAUUCCUGACUGCCUACUAGCAAACAUUCUUCAAUCCAGUCAUUCUCAGUUUCAAAGCAGUUAAUCCUGAUAAUACGUGUAAGAGUCUAAUGAAUGCUCCCUAAUGUACCUUGUGACUCAGGGUGACAAGCAUAAGAUUUGACCCGUCUCACUCCCGGCUCAUACAUGACGUGCUGAAUUGUCCCUGACAUGAAAUACGAUCCUUGGUCAGAGUGAACUUAUUCGGGUAAACCAACAAUAGUGGAAAACUUUAUCAAAGCCUUUACAAAAACUGACACAGCAAUAUUCAUGAACGGAUUUUCAUCUGAGAAUGUUAAUAGUGUUUACCAGAUGUCAAUCGUAUGGUACAAAUAUUAUAAUAUUGAGUUUUUCAUGUUUCAAAAUGCUUCUAGAAUGUGUUGUAAUAGUUCGUGAUGAUUAAUUAACAUUUUGAAGGAAAUCAUACUAUUUAGAGGUACUGAAUUUAAUUAGGAUCAUUCAUUGUUGAGUGGCAAACCUUAUUUUUAUCAUGGUCAUUUUGAGUUGGUGUCUGACAAACAUCGUAAAGGUAAUACUAUUGUUACGGAGCUAUGCUCAAAUGAUCAGGGGUGUCAUAAAAUAUGAAUAAAGUAAAAAUGAAAAUUUGGCAAUAGGUUCACAGGUUCAUAAUAACUGCUAAUAGUACUAAUAGAUGACAAUAAAACAUCAGAUAAACCCAGUCUGCGCUUACAAAGAUCACUGGUUAAUUACAUCAGAGCAAAUAUACAAGCAGCUUAACUAAGCAACUGAAUUACAGUAAAACCAUUGCUAAAACAACACUUUGAAAAGAUACCGACCAGAUGCGUAUAAUUAAGUCAAUUAACACCCGAGUCAAUUAAUUCAUGAGUGAAUACCCUGAAUAACGGGAAAUAAACACAGAGUGCCUAUCCCUAAAAUAAGUCACUUAGACCGCAAAAUAGACGAGCACGUCAGAAUAUCAAGAAGUCUUAAUCGACUAAAGACUAAAUCACGGGAGGUUGGUUAUCCAUUGAUUACCAGCGAAACUGAGUAUUACAAACCCUAGUAACUCAGUUUAAUUCAGUUCAACCAGACUAAGUCAGAAUCUUGAUAGAACAGUGUUCCGAACCCAUUAAUGACGAAACCUGAGUUUCGACCGUGACCACUCCAGUAGCAAGACAAUUGUGAACGAUUUAACAAAACCUGGAGGGUGAAGACACAAAAUUAGACCGAAGUAUAAAUAUACAGCGUGCGGACGUCGGCGGUAACAAUCUCCCCUGUGGACUGCCAGGGAAUGAAACAGAGGGGGCGCUUAGCCAACGUGUGUUUUUACAGGGCAUGUCGACUUAUUGCUGAACAACCAAAGUGGCAUACCUUUAAAGGAAACAAUUGCUCCACAUUAUAUUGCCCACAUGUGAUCAUAGCCUGGACGUUGUCUUGCGUUGAACAUGAAUAAUAUAUCUUUGCAUCAGAAGUCAGAUUUAUGCAUACAAAAUUUUGAGUUAGAGAUAAAAUGGAGUUGUCACAGUGUAUGAACAAUUAGAAUUAAAUUUGCUGCCAAUUUGCCUGAGCCUCCACACUUUAACACUUCAAUGAACUCAGCUGCCAGUUGGGUUAUGUACUGUGUAUACAGACGAAGGUUCAUCCGGACAGGAUCUCGGAUUCCCCACUAUGGGAAAGCACGUUUUGACAUUCAUAUCACUGGGUCAUCUGUGCGCCCUGGAACGAGGAGACGUCUUUUGUUUGUGAUUACACAAACAUAAUGCACUCAGAAGCUUUCUUUCGAGAUGAAGUUUGAAGACAUCGUGAAGCUCCUGGGUGACUUUGGCCCCUAUCAGAAGAGGCUAUACUUCCUACUAUGUAUCCCUGUGAUAUCAACCGGUGUGCAGAUAAUGAUGCUAGUCUUUACACUGGGAGUACCAGACUACAGGUGUGCCCUCCCAGACUGGGACAAUGACACAUACACCAUUCAGGGCGAGCAACAUGCACGUGCAGUCAACGCAGCCAUUCCUCUAUCAAAUGAAGUAGCACAACUCUACUCUUCUUGUUUCAUUAACAAUGUCAUCAAUGGCACAAGAGGAGAUGUGUUUUACACAAAUACUUCGCGAAAAUGUGAAAAAUGGGUCUACGCCACGGAUAUAUUCAGUUCAACUAUUGUCACAAAGUUUGGAUGGGUAUGCGACAUGAAGCUGACAAAGACUCAUGCCCAGACAAUGUCCAUGCUAGGACUAUUGGUUGGAAGUGUGUUGUUGUUGCCCCCGGCAGAUUUCAUCGGAAGGAAGAAGAUGUUCAUGGCAUCAAUCAUCCUGCAUAUUGUGUCCGCCAUCUCGAUAGCCUUUGUCCCCAGCUUCGCCAUCCUCAGUCUUCUUUAUUGCAUCAACGGGAUGUCCGUCAUCGCCAUCUGGGGCAACGGUUUUGUUGUAGGUGUCGAGUUGGUUGGGCCUUUAAAGCGAGUAUUGACGGGCAUCGUAUGUGAGUUUUUCUGGACAUGCGGUUCAUUCAUAACAGCUACACUGGCAUACUUCGUGAGAGAUUGGCAACACCUGCAGCUGAUAGUUUCUGUGCCAACGGUCCUGUUUCUAGUAUAUUACUGGCUUAUAUCAGAGACUUCACGCUGGCUGAUCAGUAAGAUGAAGUAUGAGGAAGCGGACCAGCUAUUACGUCAUGCUGCCAAGGUCAACAAGAAGACCUUACCCUCUGACAUAUUCAGUGAAAACAUGUUAGAACAGAAGAUAGGAACCGCUUUGGCGAAUAUUCACAAAUCCCACUUUGGCUGUACGGACACUGGUGGUGAUAUUCAACUGGUUCGUUGUUAGUAUCGGCUUCUUUGGCCUCGGCCUGAACGUGGCUAAUCUUGGCGGGAGUGUCUACACAAACUUCUUCAUUUCAUCCGUGGCUGAGCUGGUCGGCCAUGUUGCGAGCCUAUUUCUCCUCGACCGCAUUGGAAGGAAGUCUUUUCUCUGCACCACCAUGAUCCUCGGCGGGGUGUGCUGCACAGCGACCAUUCUACCUGUGCUCUAUGGCGAUGUGUCUCUGAACUGGCUGACCAUUGCCUUAGCUUUGACUGGUCGGGGUUUCGCAGUGGCAAGUUUCGACGUCAUCUGGUUGUAUUCUUCAGAACUCUUCCCUACUGUCAUCAGAAACUCGGCUCUGGCCGUUGCUAGCAUAUUCUGCAGGGUUGGAGGAACUUUAUCGCCUUACAUUGCUAACCUGGCUCUAGUGGUAUCAGGAGACUUUGGUCGGGCUGUCCCUCUCCUUUUAAUCGGUACGUCCAUGCUAUUGGCGGGAUCUGCAGCUCUGGCGUUGCCCGAAACUUGGAAAGCUCCACUCCCAGAUACUAUUGAUG
Haliotis rufescens (red abalone) is the source of this 3955-nucleotide RNA transcript. It is a transcript of the gene named organic cation transporter protein-like, with no coding region annotated. The record is from RefSeq and is a predicted model, not a curated record. The transcript has 9 exons. Lineage: Eukaryota; Metazoa; Mollusca; Gastropoda; Lepetellida; Haliotidae.